This is a long non-coding RNA of Dreissena polymorpha, 730 nucleotides long. RefSeq lists it as uncharacterized. The transcript has 3 exons. Lineage: Eukaryota; Metazoa; Mollusca; Bivalvia; Myida; Dreissenidae. The record is from RefSeq and is a predicted model, not a curated record.
GUAAUCAAUCUCAUGGGUAAUCCUAAGUUAUAACCGUUCCGUCCCAAAAGUCUUCAAUCAGGAUCAUAUUAGUCGACAAGUUUGAACUGUCGUUUGACGAAGCCAUGCUUUGGCGCUCGUUCGACCCGCCGUCACGGACAGUACUGCAGACGACAGUCCGUACCUCAGUCGACUUCCUGUUCAGUCGUCUGGAGAAACUGCACGGCCGGAUAUUGGUGUGUCGCGCCUUGGGAUAUUUUACCUUAGCCAAUAACGAAAUCACCGAGGUGGAGCUUGAUGACGUGUUGUGAUGCGAUGAUGACGUAUUAAAUGACGUCUACACGUACUGGACACCGCCCAUGCGCAGACUGCCCCCUCUACUUCUCGUGUGCAUACGGGCGGACAUCGACCAAUAUGUCGGUACUGAACUUUACUGUUAUUUUCUCGUUUGAAUUUAAUGUUUUACGAACGUCGAGCUGAUGAGAAGACAAUGAUGUUAUAUGUACUAUGGCGAUUUAUAUUGGGAUUUCCAAUUCAUUAUCAACAUCGCAUAUUAUUAACAUUAAGAUAAAGCGGUUAUCGCAACGCGGUUGAACGUCUGCCUUAAGGACUUGUGAUCAUAUAGGUUCGCUACCACUUGAUGCUUUCUGAUUAGUUUUCAGCUGAGAAACAAUUAGUUCAACUUUCUUUACGUGACUUGCUUAUGACUUAAGCAUCAGCGGAAGAGGUUCAUUAGCUACAUUCUGCAUGU